GUGGGGAAUCUUCCGCAAUGGACGAAAGUCUGACGGAGCAACGCCGCGUGAGUGAAGAAGGUUUUCGGAUCGUAAAGCUCUUUCGUUAGGGACGAACGUGCUCUUUGUGAAUAAUGAGGAGUAAUGACGGUACCUAAAUAAGAAGCCACGGCUAACUACGUGCCAGCAGCCGCGGUAAUACGUAGGUGGCAAGCUUUGUCCGGAAUUAUUGGGCGUAAAGCGCGCGCAGGCGGGAUAUCAAGUCUGUCUUAAAAGUGCGAGGCUCAACCUCGUGAGGGGACAGAAACUGGUAUUCUUGAGUGUCGGAGAGGAAAGUGGAAUUCCAAGUGUAGCGGUGAAAUGCGUAGAGAUUUGGAAGAACACCAGUGGCGAAGGCGACUUUCUGGACGAUGUCUGACGCUGAGGCGCGAAAGCUAGGGGAGCGAACGGGAUUAGAUACCCGAGUAGUCC
This 450-nucleotide ribosomal RNA is filed under the name uncultured bacterium. Its description in RNAcentral is "partial 16S ribosomal RNA". It matches the Rfam family "Bacterial small subunit ribosomal RNA", at positions 354 to 796 of the family's 1533-position model. The record is from RNAcentral.